GAUGAACGCUGGCGGCGUGCCUAAUACAUGCAAGUCGAGCGAAUGGAUUAAGAGCUUGCUCUUAUGAAGUUAGCGGCGGACGGGUGAGUAACACGUGGGUAACCUGCCCAUAAGACUGGGAUAACUCCGGGAAACCGGGGCUAAUACCGGAUAACAUUUUGAACCGCAUGGUUCGAAAUUGAAAGGCGGCUUCGGCUGUCACUUAUGGAUGGACCCGCGUCGCAUUAGCUAGUUGGUGAGGUAACGGCUCACCAAGGCAACGAUGCGUAGCCGACCUGGGAGGCUGAUCGGCCUCCCUGGGACCGAGACCCGGCCCAGACUCCUACGGGAGGCAGCAGUAGGGAAUCGUCCGCAAUGGACGAAAGUCUGACGGAGCAACGCCGCGUGAGUGAUGAAGGCUUUCGGGUCGUAAAACUCUGUUGUUAGGGAAGAACAAGUGCUAGUUGAAUAAGCUGGCACCUUGACGGUACCUAACCAGAAAGCCACGGCUAACUACGUGCCAGCCGCCGCCGUAA
This 515-nucleotide ribosomal RNA is filed under the name uncultured bacterium. Its description in RNAcentral is "partial 16S ribosomal RNA". It matches the Rfam family "Bacterial small subunit ribosomal RNA", at positions 28 to 523 of the family's 1533-position model. The record is from RNAcentral.